AUCCAGCUGACGAGUUCUAAAUAGGAUGCAACGCACGUCCUAGAU
Molecule: non-coding RNA, 45 nt
Filed under: Schistosoma mansoni
Lineage: Eukaryota; Metazoa; Platyhelminthes; Trematoda; Strigeidida; Schistosomatidae
Source: RNAcentral